RNAcentral lists this ribosomal RNA (496 nucleotides) under uncultured bacterium. Its description in RNAcentral is "partial 16S ribosomal RNA". It matches the Rfam family "Bacterial small subunit ribosomal RNA", at positions 29 to 507 of the family's 1533-position model. The record is from RNAcentral.
AUGCACGCUGGCGGCGUGCCUAAUACAUGCAAGUCGAGCGAACAGACGAGGAGCUUGCUCCUUUGACGUUAGCGGCGGACGGGUGAGUAACACGUGGAUAACCUACCUAUAAGACUGGGAUAACUUCGGGAAACCGGAGCUAAUACCGGAUAACAUGUUGAACCGCAUGGUUCAACAGUGAAAGACGGUCUUGCUGUCACUUAUAGAUGGAUCCGCGCCGCAUUAGCUAGUUGGUAAGGUAACGGCUUACCAAGGCAACGAUGCGUAGCCGACCUGAGAGGGUGAUCGGCCACACUGGAACUGAGACACGGUCCGGACUCCUACGGGAGGCAGCAGUAGGGAAUCUUCCGCAAUGGGCGAAAGCCUGACGGAGCAACGCCGCGUGAGUGAAGAAGGUCUUCGGAUCGUAAAACUCUGUUAUUAGGGAAGAACAAAUGUGUAAGUAACUAUGCACGUCUUGACGGUACCUAAUCAGAAAGCCACGGCUAACUACGUG